GCCGAAGUGAUGGAAUUGGCAGACGUGGCGGACUCAAAAUCCGCUGGUAGCAAUACCGUGGGGGUUCGAGCCCCCCCUUCGGCACCA
Molecule: transfer RNA, 87 nt
Filed under: Eubacteriaceae bacterium
Lineage: Bacteria; Bacillati; Bacillota; Clostridia; Eubacteriales; Eubacteriaceae
Also listed under: 1 other name
Description: tRNA-Leu
Rfam family: tRNA
About the family: Transfer RNA (tRNA) molecules are approximately 80 nucleotides in length. Their secondary structure includes four short double-helical elements and three loops (D, anti-codon, and T loops). Further hydrogen bonds mediate the characteristic L-shaped molecular structure. tRNAs have two regions of fundamental functional importance: the anti-codon, which is responsible for specific mRNA codon recognition, and the 3' end, to which the tRNAs corresponding amino acid is attached (by aminoacyl-tRNA synthetases). tRNAs cope with the degeneracy of the genetic code in two manners: having more than one tRNA (with a specific anti-codon) for a particular amino acid; and 'wobble' base-pairing, i.e. permitting non-standard base-pairing at the 3rd anti-codon position.
Source: RNAcentral